Molecule: long non-coding RNA, 645 nt
Organism: Carassius gibelio (silver crucian carp)
Lineage: Eukaryota; Metazoa; Chordata; Actinopteri; Cypriniformes; Cyprinidae
Exons: 4
Source: RefSeq, a predicted model, not a curated record
GAGAUGUUUAUCGCUUUGAAAUCACGUUCAAGAAGUCUCAUUCAGCACACAUCGCGAUACUUUCCAUCAGUUUGCAAGAGCCGCAGGUUGGGUGAGUUAUACAGUCUAUGGUGAGUAGUAGUAAAUAUGCUAUUUUAAUGCCUGUCCUAAAACGUAUUCUGUCUUCUUUAUUAAUCAGAUGAGCGCCUUAUGUUUACUCUCUGUAUUACAUCGGUCAUCCGAGGCUGUCUUUGAGUUUCAUUGUGUUUAACUAAAUGAACACAGCUGCUAACUGGUUAAACUCUAUCGGUCACGUGACGUGACGUGACGUGCCACAGACCUGGGAUCCGUUUUAUAUUCAUUUCAGGUUCAAAGAUCUGAAAAGACGUAAAGUAAGCAGUCACCCCAGUGGUGUUUGUGGAGAGGUAUUCCUUCAGAAAUGGAGAAGACAGAAAGCUGCAGAGGCAGGAUUGUUUGCAGAUAAUGCUGUUCUUCUUUUUCAGAAGUUUUUGGGGAGCCAACCCUCACAAACCUUCCUAAAAACUAAAAGAGCUAUUACUGAGUCUCAGCGACUCUUGCCACGAUCAGCUCUUCCCAGAAGAGAAGGAAGACCAAGGAAAUGAUUUGCUCAGGAUGAGGAAUGAAGAUGGUCAUCUUGUGCUCAAG